AGGACGAACGCUGGCGGCGUGUUUCACACAUGCAAGUCGAGCGAGGCCCUUCCUUCGGGGAGGAGCCCUAGCGGCGAACGGGUGAGUAACACGUGGGCAACCUGCCCCUAGCUCUGGGAUAAGCCCGGGAAACCGGGUCUAAUACCGGAUAUGACUCUUGCAGGCAUCUGUGGGAGUGGAAAGAUUUAUCGGCUAGGGGAUGGGGCCCGCGGCCUAUCAGCUUGUUGGUGGGGUAACGGCCCACCAAGGCGACGACGGGUAGCCGGCCUGAGAGGGCGACCGGCCACACUGGGACUGAGACACGGCCCAGACUCCUACGGGAGGCAGCAGUGGGGAAUCUUGCACAAUGGGCGAAAGCCUGAUGCAGCGACGCCGCGUGAGGGAUGACGGCCUUCGGGUUGUAAACCUCUUUCAGCAGGGACGAAGCGAAAGUGACGGUACCUGCAGAAGAAGGACCGGCCAACUACGUGCCAGCAGCCGC
This 481-nucleotide ribosomal RNA is filed under the name uncultured bacterium. RNAcentral's name for it is "SSU rRNA". It matches the Rfam family "Bacterial small subunit ribosomal RNA", at positions 26 to 518 of the family's 1533-position model. The record is from RNAcentral.